UGGGGAAUUGUAGGCAAUGCCCGAAAGGGUGACCACGCAAUCCCGCGUGCAGGAUGAAGUCCUUCGGGAUGUAAACUGCUGUCAGGAGGGACGAUGAUGACUGUACCUCCAGAGGAAGGGACGGCUAACUACGUGCCAGCAGCCGCGGUAAUACGUAGGUCCCGAGCGUUAUCCGGAAUUACUGGGCGUAAAGGGUCCGUAGGCGGCUGGGUAAGUCAGUAGAUAAAGCCUGG
This 233-nucleotide ribosomal RNA is filed under the name uncultured bacterium. RNAcentral describes it as "partial 16S ribosomal RNA". It matches the Rfam family "Bacterial small subunit ribosomal RNA", at positions 355 to 605 of the family's 1533-position model. The record is from RNAcentral.